Molecule: long non-coding RNA, 884 nt
Organism: Pararge aegeria (speckled wood butterfly)
Lineage: Eukaryota; Metazoa; Arthropoda; Insecta; Lepidoptera; Nymphalidae
Exons: 6
Source: RefSeq, a predicted model, not a curated record
CAACGUGUCAUAAAAUCAAGAAGUGAAUUGAAUAACGAUGUUCCAAAAAAUAAUAUUAUUGAUCUUUAUAUCAUCUUACCUAUCGUUAAAGUAGAUUAUGCCGUUUUAAAUAAUAGAAACCAAGAUAUCAAGGUAAAAUUGUGAUUCAAGAAGUUCAAAGUUGCGUCCUGGAUUACAUAACACCGGAUAUAUAUACAAUGUAUCAAAAAGAAUCUGCAAUCUGAAUCUGGAGGCUAACUUUAUAUCAGGAAUUAUCUUGCCAAAGGAGAUGGUCAAAAUUGUAUGGAGAAAAAGUUGACGUUAAAACCACGUGUCAGGGAGGUGUGGCCCAAAUGUAACGUAACACAAUAUUGAUCCAAGCGAGUAGCGACAGCUCGUGUCGCGAGAGUUGAAACUGAUUUAAGUUGCAGUGCGUGUGACAAAGGCCGGACCCGGGAAUUGAAUCCAGAACGUUAUGAUCCGUAUUUGAACAUACGAACCACGACACCAGCGAGAAUUUUGUAUAUAUUUAUGAAGCUAUAGAUACGAUGCGAACAUCGGUGGACUGAAGUAUCGUUGCUGAACUGGCAAAUGACACCGGGACUACAAUUAUAGCCUGAGAAAUGCGGGUUUUAAGCCUUCGUCGUCUCUAGAGGAUAUGUUUACCUACUCUCACUAUUGAGACAACCAUUUUGAACCGAAUUUAGUAAUUGGGAUGUUUCUGGAUGGUGGCUUCAGCCAUGUCUAGCUACCACCGUACCGACAACGACGUGUCCCCAAACGAGUUAGCGUUCCGAUGCGAUGCCGCGUAGAAACCGGUGGGUGCAAUACCACAAAACAAACCUCCAUAGUCCAAUGUUCCAGAAACGCUGAAGAUCGUAACAAGUGGAGACGCAUCGCGGGGG